GCAUGGGUUUGGAUAUGUGGCAGGUCCGAUCCAUGGGCCUCUCACAGUGUCCCAUGCGAAAGCAGACUGUCGCCCCGAACCAUUGCCUGGCUUUACCCGUGGGCUUCAGGCACUGAAGCGGGUUGCACAGUG
Small nucleolar RNA from Echinops telfairi (small Madagascar hedgehog), 132 nucleotides. Lineage: Eukaryota; Metazoa; Chordata; Mammalia; Afrosoricida; Tenrecidae. The record is from Ensembl.